RNAcentral lists this unclassified non-coding RNA (333 nucleotides) under soil metagenome. Its description in RNAcentral is "partial contains 5.8S ribosomal RNA, internal transcribed spacer 2, and large subunit ribosomal RNA". The stretch from base 1 to 120 matches the Rfam family "5.8S ribosomal RNA", at positions 35 to 154 of the family's 154-position model. The record is from RNAcentral.
GAUGAAGAACGCAGUGAAAUGCGAUAAGUAAUGUGAAUUGCAGAAUUCAGUGAAUCAUCGAAUCUUUGAACGCACAUUGCGCCCGCCAGUAUUCUGGCGGGCAUGCCUGUUCGAGCGUCAUUUCAACCAUCAAGCCCUGCUUGCGUUGGGGUCCUGCGGCUGCCCGCAGGCCCUGAAAACCAGUGGCGGGCUCGCUAGUCACACCGAGCGCAGUAAUACAUCUCGCUUUGGGCGUGCGGCGGGUUCUUGCCGUUAAACACCCCCUUUUUACCAAGGUUGACCUCGGAUCAGGUAGGAAUACCCGCUGAACUUAAGCAUAUCAAUAAGCGGAGA